AGAUGAGGUCUCACUAUGUUGAGCAGGCUAAACUCAAAUUCCUGGGCUCAAGCAAUCUUCCUGCCUCAGCCUCCCAAGUAGCUGGGAUUACAGGCAUGUGCCAUCACAUCCAGCUAUAGUGCAUGUUGUCACAUCUGGGCAUGAUGACUGGUUCUUGACCUACACUGGUUCUUGAGGAGAGUAAAGAUCACCUGGUGGCCACAAGCAGAUCAUCUGGAGGCAAAACUCCUUAUCUGAGGACAAAAUCAACUCACUUCAAGAAUGACUGAGGGGAACACACCCCAAGGAUGAAGUCACCAAGCCUCUGAAUUAAUGCACCACGGGACCACCCUGCAUCAGGUUUUCUUGUUAUGUGUUAUUUAACCUUUUUGGGUAUAAGUUCAAGUUUUUGGUUACUUGUAGCUGAAAGCAUACACAAGCCAACUACAAAAAUAAUAUUCAAUGCUAAAUACACUAGGAAUAAAAUCUAAAGGAAAGAGCAUUGCCUUUAAGACAGUUCCAAAAAUUGUAGGCGUGAGACUCUUCCCCAGCCAGGCACUGUACUUUAGAGGAUCUUCUCUUGCUCUCUUUCACACACAUCACUUUCACAGAAGGUGAGGAGGGCCCAGGUGUCUGUAUAUGGCAUCCACACCUUUCCUAGACCAUGCACUGAGUACCUGGGAUGCCAGAAUUCUCUGACCUAACUCUGCCCAGAUCAGAUCUCUGGAGGAGGGGACCAGAUUGCAUCAUUGGUGUGUAGGCUCCAAGGCCCGAGGAGUGUUCAAAGGAUUCCUGGGGCUUUGAUGUGUGUAUCAAUGGCCCCAGUGCACGUGCAUGAGGCCCCUUGCAAUGCUGGAGGGACUGUGAUGAAGGCAGAAAGAAAAGGGGACCUACACUUGUUCUCGAUGAGAGCAAAGAUCACCUGGUGGCCAUCAAGCAGGUCAUCUAGAGGCAAAACUCCUUAUCUGAGGAAUUCAGAAGUAAUUAGACUUCUAGAAUUUCUAUACAUUUCUGGAAUGCAAGCAUGUCGAAACCCAUUGUACAACCUUUGCCGACAUAAAGGCACCAAAACAUCCACAAAUGUUAAUCAUUUCUCAUGACCAAUGUGACUAAUAUGGUCCAAAUCACCCUUCAGCUCCUGCGUUAAGUCCACAAAUACCCCUACGGAAGAUCCAACUGGGCACACUCAGUCCUCUCUUACUGAAGCUGCACUCUGCUGCAGCGUUCCUCCUAUCUAAUAAAACAUUCCUCUUCAAACUUA
Long non-coding RNA from Homo sapiens (human), 1240 nucleotides. RefSeq lists it as uncharacterized. Lineage: Eukaryota; Metazoa; Chordata; Mammalia; Primates; Hominidae. The record is from RefSeq and is a predicted model, not a curated record. The transcript is spliced from 2 exons.